Long non-coding RNA from Choloepus didactylus (southern two-toed sloth), 1031 nucleotides. RefSeq lists it as uncharacterized. The record is from RefSeq and is a predicted model, not a curated record. The transcript is spliced from 4 exons. NCBI's taxonomy places the organism in Eukaryota, Metazoa, Chordata, Mammalia, Pilosa, Megalonychidae.
UUCUGUGUGUCCUCUCUCAGCCUCUCUGGCUUUUCUCUCUGAGCUUCUUUUAUAAAGGUUUCCAGUAAGAGAAUUAAGUAAGAGAAUUAAGACCCACCCUGAGUGAGGUGGAUCACAUCUUAAGAUUCUAUUCACCAAAAGAUCCUGUUUGCAAUGGGUCCAUAUCCACAGGACUGGAUUAAAUUUGUGAACAUGAUCUUUCCUGGGUACAUAACAGCUUCAAACCAUCACAGGUUGUAAAAGCAAUUUUGAGGGUGUAACUGGAAGUUUUUAAUGAAGGAAAGAUGAGAAUGAAUCAUAUAUCAUAAAACAAUUUACACACCGACCAGUAGGAGAGCAUGGCCAGGUCCUAUGACAACAACUUCCUGUGAAAGGAGAGAUUGCUGUCUUCAGACAACCAACAUCCAGCUGCAUCUUCUCUUUGAUAAUCAGAGAAACUGAAAUUGCUUUGAAAAAAAUAAGGACUCUGUAUAGAAAGUACUUAACUCUCUUGGCAUUUUUGUGUGUGUGUGGCUAAAUGCUAACAUUAUUCAUCUAGUCUAGCAACCUCUGGAUUUCCACUUCCUAGGGAGGACAAACAUUACCCAUGACAAUUUUUUAACCUUAUUUCUCAGGCCUCCUAAAGUCUCAGCAAAAGUGAUUGCUCAGCACUCUGCCUACAGUGGGCCUCAAUGUGUUAUUUAUAAUUUGGGGUAAUAUGUAAAGAGAGACAAACAAAAUAAAAAUUGAAAUAAGUUUAGCUUCAAAAGCCUAGGUGAACACUGAACCUAUGAUUUUUAAUCCAUAAGCAUUUUAAAAUUUUAAUAUGUAAUACUUGCAAUAUAGUUAUAAAUUAGCAAUAUGCUGGAUAGUGACUCAAUCAAUCAGUCAAUCAAGUAUCUGAGGAUUAGCCAAGCAAUCAAUGAAUUCAAGCCCUCCAUUAUCUGGAUAGAAACUUUCUGACUUGACUUACCACACUUCUUCCUUUGUUGACUUGGUGUCUCUUGAAAUGCCUUCCACACAGGGUUCUGUCAGUGGCAAAACUUUCCAUC